This 794-nucleotide ribosomal RNA is filed under the name Lacticaseibacillus rhamnosus. RNAcentral's name for it is "bacterial SSU rRNA". It matches the Rfam family "Bacterial small subunit ribosomal RNA", at positions 145 to 925 of the family's 1533-position model. Lineage: Bacteria; Bacillati; Bacillota; Bacilli; Lactobacillales; Lactobacillaceae. The record is from RNAcentral.
AACAUUUGGAAACAGAUGCUAAUACCGCAUAAAUCCAAGAACCGCAUGGUUCUUGGCUGAAAGAUGGCGUAAGCUAUCGCUUUUGGAUGGACCCGCGGCGUAUUAGCUAGUUGGUGAGGUAACGGCUCACCAAGGCAAUGAUACGUAGCCGAACUGAGAGGUUGAUCGGCCACAUUGGGACUGAGACACGGCCCAAACUCCUACGGGAGGCAGCAGUAGGGAAUCUUCCACAAUGGACGCAAGUCUGAUGGAGCAACGCCGCGUGAGUGAAGAAGGCUUUCGGGUCGUAAAACUCUGUUGUUGGAGAAGAAUGGUCGGCAGAGUAACUGUUGUCGGCGUGACGGUAUCCAACCAGAAAGCCACGGCUAACUACGUGCCAGCAGCCGCGGUAAUACGUAGGUGGCAAGCGUUAUCCGGAUUUAUUGGGCGUAAAGCGAGCGCAGGCGGUUUUUUAAGUCUGAUGUGAAAGCCCUCGGCUUAACCGAGGAAGUGCAUCGGAAACUGGGAAACUUGAGUGCAGAAGAGGACAGUGGAACUCCAUGUGUAGCGGUGAAAUGCGUAGAUAUAUGGAAGAACACCAGUGGCGAAGGCGGCUGUCUGGUCUGUAACUGACGCUGAGGCUCGAAAGCAUGGGUAGCGAACAGGAUUAGAUACCCUGGUAGUCCAUGCCGUAACGAUGAAUGCUAGGUGUUGGAGGGUUUCCGCCCUUCAGUGCCGCAGCUAACGCAUUAAGCAUUCCGCCUGGGGAGUACGACCGCAAGGUUGAAACUCAAAGGAAUUGACGGGGGCCCGCA